RNAcentral lists this small nuclear RNA (140 nucleotides) under Gouania willdenowi (blunt-snouted clingfish). Its description in RNAcentral is "U4 spliceosomal RNA (ENSGWIG00000012226.1)". It matches the Rfam family "U4 spliceosomal RNA". Rfam says of the family: U4 small nuclear RNA (U4 snRNA) is a component of the major U2-dependent spliceosome. The record is from Rfam by way of RNAcentral. Lineage: Eukaryota; Metazoa; Chordata; Actinopteri; Blenniiformes; Gobiesocidae.
AGCUUUGCGCAGUGGCAGUAUCGUAGCCUAUGAGGUUUAUCCGAGGCGCGAUUAUUGCUAGUUGAAAACUUUACCCAAUACCCGCCAUGACGGCUUGAAAUACAGCCGGCUACGGCAAUUUUUGACGGUCUCUACGGAGC